GUGAACGCUGGCGGUAGGCCUAACACAUGCAAGUCGAACGGCAGCACAGUAAGAGCUUGCUCUUACGGGUGGCGAGUGGCGGACGGGUGAGGAAUACAUCGGAAUCUACUUUUUCGUGGGGGAUAACGUAGGGAAACUUACGCUAAUACCGCAUACGACCUACGGGUGAAAGCAGGGGAUCUUCGGACCUUGCGCGAUUGAAUGAGCCGAUGUCGGAUUAGCUAGUUGGCGGGGUAAAGGCCCACCAAGGCGACGAUCCGUAGCUGGUCUGAGAGGAUGAUCAGCCACACUGGAACUGAGACACGGUCCAGAUUCCUACGGGAGGCAGCAGUGGGGAAUAUUGGACAAUGGGCGCAAGCCUGAUCCAGCCAUACCGCGUGGGUGAAGAAGGCCUUCGGGUUGUAAAGCCCUUUUGUUGGGAAAGAAAAGCAGCAGGUUAAUACCCCGCUGUUCUGACGGUACCCAAAGAAUAAGCACCGGCUAACUUCGUG
RNAcentral lists this ribosomal RNA (491 nucleotides) under uncultured bacterium. RNAcentral describes it as "partial 16S ribosomal RNA". It matches the Rfam family "Bacterial small subunit ribosomal RNA", at positions 29 to 507 of the family's 1533-position model. The record is from RNAcentral.